This 292-nucleotide ribosomal RNA is filed under the name uncultured Prevotellaceae bacterium. RNAcentral's name for it is "partial 16S ribosomal RNA". It matches the Rfam family "Bacterial small subunit ribosomal RNA", at positions 58 to 339 of the family's 1533-position model. The record is from RNAcentral. Lineage: Bacteria; Pseudomonadati; Bacteroidota; Bacteroidia; Bacteroidales; Prevotellaceae.
CAAGUCGAGGGGAAACGAUAUUGGAAGCUUGCUUCCGAUAGGCGUCGACCGGCGCACGGGUGAGUAACGCGUAUCCAACCUGCCCACCACUUGGGGAUAACCUUGCGAAAGUAAGACUAAUACCCAAUGACGUCUCUAGAAGACAUCUGAAAGGGAUUAAAGAUUUAUCGGUGAUGGAUGGGGAUGCGUCUGAUUAGCUUGUUGGCGGGGUAACGGCCCACCAAGGCGACGAUAUCUAGGGGUUCUGAGAGGAAGGUCCCCCACAUUGGAACUGAGACACGGUCCAAACUCC